Molecule: regulatory RNA element, 100 nt
Organism: Cecembia lonarensis LW9
Lineage: Bacteria; Pseudomonadati; Bacteroidota; Cytophagia; Cytophagales; Cyclobacteriaceae
Rfam family: SAM riboswitch aptamer (S box leader)
About the family: The SAM riboswitch is found upstream of a number of genes which code for proteins involved in methionine or cysteine biosynthesis in Gram-positive bacteria. The SAM riboswitch acts at the level of transcription termination control.
Source: Rfam
UGCUUAUCGAGAAAGACCGAGGGAUGGGCCCUACGACGUCUUAGCAACCUGAAUACAAGGUGCUAAUUCCCCUUCCGGAAAUGCCGGAAAAAGAUGAGCG